UAUUAUGUUUUUUUAAGACAAUUCAACAGAAAAUAUCCCAUGAUGCAGCAGUAUACAUGACAUAUCCCCCUUGUCCCCUUAUCCACCCCUAAACAAUGUCAAUUUCAUCCUUAUCAAACGGAUGCUCCACCCGGCUGGCUAGACAAAGACAAACUACAUAAGAUGAACAUGAUAGAAAAAUUGUGUAAAAUAAUAACACUAGUAAUUGUUAUUAUUACCAUAUCUGUCACCGUCAUUAAAUAAGCAGUUACAAGCACAUAUAAUGCCAGUAUGCAACAUGCACCAAUAUGUUAUAUCUUCAUGACACAAGUGUGAUAUGUUACUCAUGCCAGCUAUGCCACAUCAUGCUUCCUGGCAGAGAUCCUGGCUUUGACAUCAUCAGGGUUAUUUUCUCAGACUUUAGAAAGCUCCCUGCACAGCUGUUUGAGCAGCACUCGCUAUGAUGAGUAAACUAAACUUCAUGUUUCAUUAAAUAGCCACAAAUGAAUUGCCUCGCAGUGAACCCUGGGCCUUUGGGCCCCCUGAGGAUCUAUGGCCCUGGGGCAGUUGCCCACUUUGCCUAGUUGGUAAUCCAGCCUCGCAUAUUCCCAAUUUGCAUAUUCAAUUACGUUACCACAGAGCAGUUGCCACACAGUAAGCCUGGAGCUUUCGGGGCCCCUGGAGUCCUGGGGCUGUUGCCCAGUUGGAAUUCCAGCCUUGGGCUCAUGGUUAUAGUAAAGUCAUUAGAAUAAAAGCAGGUUUUCAGAAGUUAUUUAAAAGAUGAUACCGAUCUGGUCUCAGUAAUGCUCUGAAAACAUUUCAAAUCAGACCUUAAUGCAUCUUAGCUGUUUGAUUUAAUGACCUAAAUAAAAACGCAAAGAAGAAGUCUAGCCUCUAAAUGGGCUUCUUUAUCUUUACCAUCUUGCUUAUGUUGCUGUGUGCGCAGGGGGGCAGUGUUUGGUUGUUAAUUGGCUCUCUCAUGUAGUGCAGGCUGCUGCUGAUUGGCCGCCUGUGGAACAUCUGUAUCCAUAGUUCCAGUUGCGCGUUUCUCCGGCCGGAAAGCUGCCCAUGGCUCAGGGGCCGGAGAGCGUUACACUGGGCAUAGCUUCGUUAUCACGCUGCCCUCUGUUGCACAGAACGGGAUUAAGCACAUUUCAAUUAACAACAUACAGUUUGUGUGGAAUCCAGGCCUACACAUCGUGCCAGAUAUUUGGAACAUAUUAUUUCAUAUUCUCUUAAGCGGGGUGGAAAAGUUAUGGGGCCCCCGAAGGAAGACGAAUGAAUGAGUGGCCUUCCGGCUGGUUACAAACGCAGCUUCAUAAUUAUGUCACACAACAGCACGUCUUGACGAGGAAGGCAGAGCCAAAUAGGGUUGUUUUUUUUGUUUUUUUUUCUCGAGUGCUUUAUUCCAAGUAGCCCCGAGGACGUGCGUGAAGCCCAUCCCACUCCGUUCCCUAAAUCCGCCGCGCCUGCUGGAACGCAGGAGCCGUUUGGCGCUGGGUCUGCCGGCUCCCUCGCAUUCAGCCUGCCCCUGUAACCUCCAGGUAUGCAGCUGCCCCUUUUGUAGGCAUCGCGGCAGACACAAAGGAAGUCGCUGCACUUUUUUUUCCUCCCAACCCCUUCUAUUUUUAAGGUGACCGACUUCAUCAGCGCUCCGUCGGCCGCUGGCCAGUCUGUGUGGCGGCAGGCAACGUGAACAUCGCUCUCUGCGCGGGGCUCCGGCUGUAUGUGUUUCACCGAGGGCGGUCAGCACCGGCUUAAAUGGACUAUUGAUAAGUUUCUAAUCAGAUUGAUGGUCGUUGAGUCGACAGAGGGGAGCAAAUCGGCCGCGAGCGAGCUGCUCUCUUAAUGGACCGCUGAAUUGUUUAAUGACACGGCGAUGAAUGUUGUGAUUUCUCUCCCGUGAUACAAGAUAGCUUAUCUGGAGCCGCAGCAGCUGCCCGCCUGUCGCUUUUAUGCAUAGCCUUUGCAGGGUCAAGAUGCAGUUUCGGACUGUGCUGGACGUGAAAGUCGUGGACGUGGAGAAGAGGCGCAGUCCGUCUAAACACUACGUUUAUCUCAUCAAUGUCACCUACUCUGACAACACCUCCCACAUCAUCUACAGAAGAUACAGCAAAUUCUUUGACCUACAGAUGCAGAUACUUGACAAGUUCCCAAUUGAGGGAGGGCAGAAAGACCCAAAGAAGAGGAUCAUCCCAUUCCUUCCAGGCAAAAUCCUGUUCCGGAGGAGUCAUGUGCGAGAUGUGGCCAUGAAGCGUCUGCGUUUCAUUGACGACUACUGCAGGGCGCUAGUGCGACUCCCCCCGCAGAUUUCUCAGAGUGAGGAGGUGCUGCGCUUCUUUGAGACAAAAGCCGAGGACAUCAACCCCCCAGUGGAGGACUAUGGCUCCAAGCGCAAGUCGGUAUGGAUGUACGGUUUUACAGACAGCCCGAGGAAAGAGGCCUCAGGGAUUGACAGCUCGGAGCCCAUGGUGCUGGAGCAGUACGUGGCCGUGGCCAACUACGAGAGGCAGGAGAACUCGGAGAUCAGCCUAAAGGCCGGCGAGACGGUGGACGUGAUUGAGAAGAGCGAAAGUGGUUGGUGGUUUGUCAGCACAGCAGAAGAGCAGGGCUGGGUGCCGGCCACAUACCUGGACUCCCAGAAUGUAACCAGAGAUGAUUUGGAUCUCGGCACUUCCAGGACUGGAGAAGUUACUAAGAGACGCAAGGCGCAUCUGAAGAGGCUGGACCGCCGCUGGACCCUCGGGGGUAUAGUCAACCGCCAGCAGAGCAGAGAGGAGAAAUAUGUCACGAUACAGCCGCACACCAGUCAAGGGAAGGAUGAAGUCAGCUUUGAGAAAGGGGUCACCGUGGAGGUCAUCCAAAAGAACCUGGAGGGCUGGUGGUACAUCAGAUAUUUAGGGAAAGAGGGCUGGGCCCCUGCCUCCUACUUGAAAAAGGUGAAAGAGGACUUCUGCCCUCGCAAGAAGACCCUGACAGGCCCCGUGGAGAUCAUCGGCAACAUCAUGGAGAUCAGCAACCUUUUGCAAAAGAAGUCGGUCAGCGAGAAAGACAUCCAGACAGACGGAGAGGGUAGCACCACACCGGAGCGCCACAUCUCCAAGAGCGAGAUCAGCCUGCCCAUGCCCUAUAACUCUGAAAUCAACGCUGAGACGGGCCGGAGGCUGAGCGCAGGCCGUGACACCAACAGCCCUUGUCUGGGAAUAGCAGCGAGUGCUGCCCUAAAUGAAAAUAAAGGGAGAGGCGAGCCAGGGUCUCCAGCUGUUGCAAGAGUGGCACCGCAUAGAGUGGAAAUUGGCUUUGAUGCUAUAGGGUCUCCGAAUCUGAGACAAAAACCUCCCCCGAGAAGAGAAACCAACUUGGGAUUCCAGUUACCCAAGCCACCAGAGCCCCCUGCUGUGGAAGCAGAGUAUUACACUAUAGCAGAUUUCCAGUCCUCGAUCUCUGAUGGCAUCAGUUUCCGUGGAGGACAAAAGGCUGAUGUGAUAGAGAAGAACCCUGGAGGCUGGUGGUAUGUGCAGAUUGGAGAGAUGGAGGGAUGGGCCCCCUGCUCCUACAUCGACAAGCGGAAGAAGCCUAACCUCAACCGUCGGACCAGCACCCUGACCCGACCCAAAGUCCCCCCCCCAGCUCCACCUGUCAAGAAACAAGACUCCGAGGAGGCUCCCCCUCCUGCUAACUCUGCCUCUAAAGUCUCUGAGCCGCAGAGCAGGCCUGUGUACGAGGAGCCUGAAUAUGAUGUCCCUGCAAUUGGAUGCGAAGGUGAAUUGGACGCAGAUUCCCUGAAGGAUGAGCGCGUCCUGGAUGUGAAGAUCAGCAGCGUGGUCAGCGACAAGUACUGCAGCGCCCCUCCUUCCUGCAAGGCCUCUCCUGUCUGCAAAGCGUCCCCUGUGUUCACUCAUCGAAGAGCUUCCUUCAGGUCUGUAGAGGAGGUUGCAAAAGAGGAGUGUAUCUAUGAGAACGACGGCUUCAGGCGAAGCAGUGGCGUUGAAGGAACUUCAGUCAAAGGUUCCAGUGAGCCGAAUUCCCCAAGGAGCUACCAUUCCUCCACAGUCCCACGCAAACCCUCUGGAUCUUCACCUUUAGCUGGUAGACCCAUGAAGACCAUGACACCAGAGAUGAACCGGAGAAGCCAGACCCUGGGCAGACAUGUAGAUAUCAGCCUCAGGUUGCAGGACAACAGCCCCCACUCUUCAUCAGAUGAAUUGAGCAGAGGCCCCAAGAAAGGCCCUGCCUUCAGCCGGGAUGUGGAGCAGAGAAUAGGCCAGAGCCCCUCCACCAGGCCCAAGCCUUCUGUAAGACCUAAACCACUCCUGACCAAAUCAGAGCCCCAGAGUCCUGAGAGGAUGGACAUCAGCUCUCUGAGACGGCAGCUGAGGCCUACAAGUCAGUUUCGACAUGGCAUCAAACCUGCUCGUGGGGACGACUCUGAAACAGCCUCUGUUAUCUCAUCAGAGGACUCAGUGUGUUCGCGCAGUACCUCAGAUCUCUCUUCUGUUUACUCCAAAGGGAGCCGUGGUGACUCAGACGUGGAGGGCCCCAGUCUCUACCGCUCCCUGGACGCCUAUAAGAAGGUCCAGGACUCUGAGGUCAGCUUUCCAGCCGGGGUUGAGGUCGAGGUUCUGGAGAAGCAGGAAAGCGGUUGGUGGUACAUCCGUUGGGGAUCUGAGGAGGGCUGGGCUCCCUCGUACUACCUGGAACCUGUCAGACAAGUGGGUGAUGCAGGUGGGUUAGAAUCAGAUGGACACGGCAGUGGUGGUAGUAAGUCUAACAGCCUGGAGAAAAACGAGCAGCAUGUUUUGGCCCUCAAUAACAUCAAUAUUCAGGGUCUGAGCCAGCAGCAUCAAGGCUUGAGGAGGAACACUCCGCCGAUUCCUUCCAAGCCUCCUGGUGGCUUCUCGAAGCCGUCCGGGAUGGUUAACGGAGGAGUUAGGAUGAGAAACGGGGUACGCCAGGUGGCGGUGAGGCCUCAGUCUGUAUUUGUGACCACAACACAGCCAGCCAAAGAUGCGCACUACAUGACAGGGUCUCUGAGGCGAAACGACUCGCUUGGCAGAAGUGAUCACUAUGGCUCUGGUUCUGCCACUCUUGGUGUCCGCCGAAAUGCUUCCUUCAGCACCGUACGGCCACAUGUAGUCGUUGAAAGUCAGACAAGGCCUGCCGAGCGCUGCAGCCUGGGGUCCUCGGGGAGCUCAUUCAGCACAAGCAAUGUCCAGGACGCCCUUAGCAGAGUGAACCAACGCAACGGCAUCCCUGUGUCUACAGUCCGACCCAAGCCCAUAGAGAAGAGCCAGCUGAUCCACAACAACCUUGGCAGGGAUGUGUACGUAUCCAUCGCUGACUAUCGAGGCGAUGAGGAAACUAUGGGUUUCACUGAGGGCACCUGUCUGGAGGUUUUGGAGAGAAACCCCAAUGGAUGGUGGUACUGCCAGGUGCAGGACAGCCUGCUUCCCCGCAAGGGCUGGGUCCCAUCCAACUACCUAGAGCGAAAAAAAUAAAAAGCACCCCGCAUCCUUUGGCUACCCUUCCCUUUCCCCAUCUCCCCAUUUUGAUGUCUUCAAGGACAUGGGUGGCAUUACUCCUUAAGAAUGUUACCCGCAGUCUCCCGUAAGCAAUAUGUCCUUGAAAAUGUACAUUUAUGAAAAGACUGUGUGUAAAAAGAAAGCUGUUUUAAUCCGAUAAGGAAGGACACUUUUAGUGCUGGUUUACUAAAAUGUAUACGAAGAGGAGUGUAAAAAUUUUUAAUAUUUUGGCUGGGAAAGAGAGACAGAAAGGUGGGAUUGCUCACCCUGGAAAUUUGAGGAGGACAGUGUCUUUCAGAUAUAAAAUGGUAUGAAUGGGAGUGAUAACCUCUUAAAGAGGUUUGCAUCAUGUAAUACAGAAGUCGAGCAGGGUAAUGGCUAUGCUUAUUCCUGCCCAUCACUGACUAUGAUGGCCGAUAAGUGCCUUUUGUAUUUGUUCACCUGAAUGGUCCUAAAUGGUGGAUGGUAAAACAUUAAAUCAACCAAAUCUUUUAAAAGUGCCAUAGGCCUAUGAACACCACCAGGAGUAUUUCCAUAACCAAUUAAGAGCUCCACUUUAGAGUGCAAACAAAGUGCAAGGUUUUGAUCUAGAGGGCUUUAAUUGGUCCAACACAGAUUAAAGAAAGUAAAACAGAGAUUUAAGGGACUCGAGUCAGCAGAGAAUUUAUUCGUUUUAAGCCACAAGUCAUCAAGCAAACUAAAACUUUUAAUCUCGUUAUCAGUAUUUUUAUUUAGUUUCAUUGUUCGUGUUAUAAUGUCUUGUGUUGGUGCGAGUCUUCCUUAGAGAAUUAUUUCUGCGUUCUUGUGACAUCCGUUUUCCACCAGCAGCCUAGAAUUGGGAAAGUUAAAGCUCCUGCCUCAUGUCUUGUACAAUCAGACACUGGCAAAAUAUACAGUAGGUGCUCAGGUUUGAUACUUUGGCAUAGUUUUAGAUCCUCAAGCCCCAGAAAAAUAUGGUACGGUAAUAUUCAUGUUUUUAAUCCCAGAUGUAACUAUCUAGGAUAACAAAUGUAUAAAAAAACCUGUGAAACUUGAAAAAAACAGUCGGAUAUUUUAGUUUCUUUGAAAAUCAAAGGAACAACUUGUAACUUCAGUGCUCUCCAGAGAAGAAACCCCCUCAUAUCUGGUUAGUUAAUAACCUCAAAAGAUUAAAACAAUUAGUUUACAAAGGUUUAGGUUUACUGUAGUGCUUUUAGUUCCAGGAACAGUUGAUUUUGUAUAUGUUUUGUUUUGUAUACAUAUAAUAAUACCGCUGUUGCGUAGAUGCUUUGAAUAAUUACUGGAAAUUAGGGGAAAUAAUUGUAUCCCAGGUACAUAUUUGCAAAGCAUUUAACCCAAAAUAUGAUCAAAACAAAGAGAAAUGUCAUUUCAUUCGCUUUCGAUUUGUGAUUUUACUAUUUAUUUAUAUAAAAGUAAUACAGUGUAAUCAACAAAAUGCCUAAAACAAGGUUUCUGAACGGGGAAAAAAAUCUAUGAAACAAGAAGUAAACAAGUAAAAUGAGAUAAUCUGUGCAGUAUGCGUUUUGACAUCAAAUAGAGGACAACAUAGUGUAUUACCUUGUUUCAAAGUUGAGGUAUUUUUUUCCAAAUUAUAGUUGGGUUUCAUAUCGUAUGUUAUCAGAUCGUAUAAAUAAGGCUUCACACCUAAAAAUAUCAAGUUAGGAAUAAUUCUCCCCCAGUGCAGAAGUGAAAUUGGAGAAUUUGGAGCUAAAAUCCAACUCUCAAAACUCAAAUGGCUGAUGUUCAAGACUGCUGAAAUACAUUUUCUAACGAACAGUUUGAGCUCUCUAUAUGAGGCUGAACACUAACUUCAUUAUGUUUCUGCUGGACAGUAUCAUAGUAUUAAACAAAGUACAGUACCUGCUAGAUUGCAGUUAUCUAUUUUAGUGAAGAUUUUAGCUAAAUUAGUUUUUUGUUUGUUAAUUUGUUACUCUGUGAUCACACAGUGACAAUAAUGAGGAACGAAGUGAUUCUGUUUUGUGAAUUAGUGCACUUUAAACCUGUUUUUAUGGUGCAUUAAUGUAAAGAUGCAGUAAAUAUUCAGCAUAUUAUUUAUUGAUUAAGUUUUUGGAAUUAUUUAAUUUGAACUUUUUUUCCCCCUCACCUCAAAUGAGAGGUGCAACUCUCUAAUGAGUUCUCUCCGUGACAGUGGCCAAAGAUUGAGUAGAAUUGGAGAAAUAGAGACCUCUUGUGGGAGGUCAAAGGUACUGCAACAUGAUUUUCCUCUUACCCACAAGGCUUACCAGCCGUCCUACCUCAGUGCAAUAAGAAAUGCACUGCUGGUCAGUGACUCUCAUUAAUAACUGUACAGAAAUUGAAUGUUUGUUUUUUUUUUUAAAUAUCAGUGCAGCUAAAAAUAUUUUGUAGUUUUUUUUAUUGGGCAAUUUUUUUUUUUUUUUGAAAAUAAAAAAAUCCUUUUUUCCUCCAUGCUGUGUGCUGCAACUUUAGCAAAUCAUGGGUACUUCCUUCAUCUUUAUUGUGCUUUACAUAAUGCCUGAUUUAAUGUAUUUAUUAUGAAUAGUUUUAUAUCUUAUCACGGUUUGACAAUCACCUUAUUCCCCCAUUGAAAAUAUCACUGUAUAGCAUUAUACAGAUUAUCAUUGUUACACUGUAAAAAUUUUAAAAUAUCAUCAUUAGUUGAGGAUGUGAGGUAUUUGCGUUCAUUUUAAUAUAUAUAAAUUAAAAAUAUGACCAUAUAAGGACCUAUAAAUAAUAAAAUGAAGAAUUAGGAUGUUAAUAUUUGCUGUCAGGCAACAAGGCCUCUCCCAUCCAGACGAAGGCAUUAUGUAAAUGUGUUGAAUCACUUUUAACAUUUCGCUCCAGCACAUUAUUAUUAUUAUUAUUGCAUAUUGCUUUGUUUGAUCGAGCUGAAUUUACUUGGCUGAAAUAGCAAGGGAAUCGUUCUGUGUCAGGCAUACAUUUAGCUGUGUAGCAUCUAUCUUUAUUCGUGCUUUUACCUUCUCUUUCUUAUUUCCCCUUUUUUGCCACUUUUUGUCAAAUUCUGAAAUGUACCCGCAAGGAAAUGUGCAAUAGAUAAGAAACACAUCAUGCUUCAACAAGAGGAAAAAUAUCACAGAACGUGAACAAUGCCAUUACAUCCGAUGGGAGUAGAUAUUCCCAUUCAAACUGCCAGUCAUGAGCUUUUAACAUCAUUUCAAGUGUAUUAUUUUAAGUCUGUUUAAAAGAGCAGAUGUGAAAGGCCCUGAAAGCAUCGGAAAUCUCAUUGGACCAAAGCAGUCAUGUGACAUCUCAUUAUCUCCUGACGUGAUGGACUUUUAUAAUAACUAACAUGCCCUGGAUCAGCAGUGGACAGUGAUUUGUGAAUGGCAUGGCAGAAACCCGCUGACCCAUUCUGUAUUGACAUUACAGCCAUCUGGGGUCUUCUUCACAGAUGGAGAGUCAUGGGCCCAUCAUCAGGGGCCUCAGCGGCCCUGCUCUGGGCUGUCACGUUCGUGCCUGAAUGGAUUUUUGAUUCUUGUUUUUGUGCUGUUGUUGUUUUCUUGUUCUUUUUUUGUUUUCCCCUCUUGAGCGUGUCCCCUCUCUUCACCCACGUGGAUGCCUCUCUUGACAUUUACCCCACUGUUGUCAAACCAAGUCGGACUUUUUUUCCUCACCAAUCACCGCGGCGAAGGUGACAUUUGGAACUGCCGGCCUCGGCGGGCAAAGAGACGCCGGCGGGAGAGUCUCGGCGGUAAACAACAGAGCGGGGAGAUGAACGCUCCUUCAGGCCAUUUCAGUUCAAUCCAUCAACUUCCAGGAUGUACGCCAAAAAUAGAAAAACCUUUAUUUUUCUCUUUGCUGAGCCCCAGGCAGGCCUUAUCCACGUGCUACAGCUGAAUACGUCAUUGUGCUAAAGACUUCCUGUGUGUACAGGCAAAUACACAGAGUUGCCUGUUUUCGUUAGGGGGGCUUGUGUCCAUAAAUCCACCUUAAAGGAAUAGUCUGACAUGUUGGGAAAUACCCUGAUUUACUUAGCUACUUAGUUUAAGACAUGUCGUUACAGCCACUCAAAACUGUGUUUUGCUUAGUGUUACCUCACUUGGAUGUUUGGCCUUGACUGUGCAGAAUGAUGUUUUCACAGACAUCUGCUGAAGUUUCUCUGUGCUCACCUUAAAUCUGGGUUUGAGGCGUGUACGUGUCAGCUUGGAUUUUGUGACAUCACAGCUGGCUUUCGCUUUACUUUUUGCGUACAGACGCGAGAGCGGUAUCAGUCUUCUGAACUCUCGGCAAGACAGCGAAUAAGUGUAUUUCCCCGAAACGUCUAACUAUUCCUUUAAGUUACAGGCUUCAUUUUCACUCAUGGCCUACCAGUUCAGCCUAUCUCAGCUCCACUGCUCUCAAACCUGGCUGCAUCCACACGGCAGAAUAAAAAAGGGGGUGAGGUAAUAUUUUUGCAUUCCACCUGCAAAACCGAGUGGGUGCACGUAUGCCAACACACACUGAUGAUGAGGAGUCAGUCAUGCCAGAGGAAAUAUAUGAGUUUCCCGACAUAUUCCCGAAGGUUAGCCGUGUGAGACAGCUCCGCUACGCCGGCACCCUGUUUGAUUCCUCACUCGCUUUUUAUUUUAACAAAUGGACGGCACCUCUCAGGCGUGAAGCACCUUAAGCUCUGUAAUCCCAGACACUAGCUGCUGCCAUAGCAUAUUCCUCCUGGCUACACUUCCUUUCUGCUCCCCACCUCUCUUUCUUUCUUCCCUCCCUCCCCACAUAUUUCCAUCUCUCUCCUUCCUUGACACAGCCAAGCAGUCUAUUCCCGGUGAAAUGAUUGAGAUAUCUAGGAUGGUUUGGGGGGGUUUGUGUGUGUGCAUGUGUGUGUUUUUGCAUGAUGAGAUGGACUGUUUGCAGGUGCGCUCAGGAGAAGAGAAUUUGGAGGUCAAGGAGGAGAUUUGCGAGAGCAGGAUGCAGGGAGACACGAGAUGAAUCAGAUAGUGGAUUCUAGGAGACAAGAAUCGCAGUUGUUUGACGCACCAGCGGGCAUCAGCGGGAGCUGUCUCUGAGCUCCGGGAAAGAGGCUGUGUCGAGGAACGAGGCACGCCGCUGUGUCUCUGUGGCACUUUUCUUUGUCUCUGUUUGAAUCCCUGUUUCUAAUUAGCACAACAGUGUGUCUUAAUUAACCCUCGCCAGUCAGAUGAUCAAGAACGCUGCGGCUGCUGCCAUUCUGCGUGGGAGCCUCUGGUGCCGGUUGGAGCGCAGCCAUAUUUUUGUGGUGGAGGUGAGCUGUCAGAAGUGAUUGAUGUUGAGUUGCAGCUUAGGUAGAUUUUUAGCGUCGACGUUGCAUUUAUAGAAUCGAGUUUGUCACCAUCCUGCCGUGGAGAGCAGCGUGCCAAAAAAACCAACUUGGAAGCCCGAUGCCAUCAAGCUCUUGAUCUGUAAAUUCUGACAAAAACAAUCCGUUACCAGCAUGUCAGCCACACUAACAAACACACAGCGACAGGCCUCGAGUUGGACCAAAGGAGGUGCUAUUCUUUUCUUUUCUCUUUUCUUUUCCUUUUCUGUUACUGUUGUUGUUAUGCAACUUGUGUUUAACUCUCGCAAACUGCUUGUUUUCAAAAGAUAUGCCACGAGGAGGCUGAGGAGGCUUUAUUCCACUGUAAAUGUCGAUGAAUCAUCCAGUGAUGAGUCAUCUGGACACCAAGUCAUACAUGGUGACAAGGCCACACACUAAUCUGUUCAAAGUGUCAUUAUACUGUACACCAGUGCGCUGGGACGACAUGAAAGCAAACGCUGUCCAAAUUCCUUUCUGAUUGGAGACAUUCUGCACAUGUGCAUUAUUUUGAAAAUGGCAUUUUCUUAUCUACCGUUUCAUUUUGACAAGUCUUGUUCCUUUUUUUUUUUUUUUUUUUUUUUUUGUAUCUUGUACAUGUUUACAUUGUAUCUCACAUUGCCCGAAAGAGAAACAAUAUUAAAUGUAUUAUCCUUGUUGUUUUA
Molecule: RNA transcript, 11429 nt
Organism: Siniperca chuatsi (mandarin fish)
Lineage: Eukaryota; Metazoa; Chordata; Actinopteri; Centrarchiformes; Sinipercidae
Gene: sh3pxd2aa
Gene name: SH3 and PX domains 2Aa
Exons: 17
Source: RefSeq, a predicted model, not a curated record